GACGAACGCUGGCGGCGUGCUUAACACAUGCAAGUCGAACGGAAAGGCCCUGCUUUUGUGGGGUGCUCGAGUGGCGAACGGGUGAGUAACACGUGAGUAACCUGCCCUUGACUUUGGGAUAACUUCAGGAAACUGGGGCUAAUACCGGAUAGGAGCUCCUGCUGCAUGGUGGGGGUUGGAAAGUUUCGGCGGUUGGGGAUGGACUCGCGGCUUAUCAGCUUGUUGGUGGGGUAGUGGCUUACCAAGGCUUUGACGGGUAGCCGGCCUGAGAGGGGGACCGGCCACAUUGGGACUGAGAUACGGCCCAGACUCCUACGGGAGGCAGCAGUGGGGAAUAUUGCACAAUGGGCGGAAGCCUGAUGCAGCAACGCCGCGUGCGGGAUGACGGCCUUCGGGUUGUAAACCGCUUUCGCAUGUGACGAAGCGUGAGUGACGGUAAUGGGUAAAGAAGCACCGGCUAACUACGUG
RNAcentral lists this ribosomal RNA (468 nucleotides) under uncultured bacterium. RNAcentral describes it as "partial 16S ribosomal RNA". It matches the Rfam family "Bacterial small subunit ribosomal RNA", at positions 28 to 507 of the family's 1533-position model. The record is from RNAcentral.